GGGGGGACCAUCCUCCAAGGCUAAAUACUCCUGACUGACCGAUAGUGAACCAGUACCGUGAGGGAAAGGCGAAAAGAACCCCGGUGAGGGGAGUGAAAAAGAACCUGAAACCGUGUACGUACAAGCAGUGGGAGCACGCUUAGGCGUGUGACUGCGUACCUUUUGUAUAAUGGGUCAGCGACUUAUAUUCUGUAGCAAGGUUAACCGAAUAGGGGAGCCGAAGGGAAACCGAGUCUUAACUGGGCGUUAAGUUGCAGGGUAUAGACCCGAAACCCGGUGAUCUAGCCAUGGGCAGGUUGAAGGUUGGGUAACACUAACUGGAGGACCGAACCGACUAAUGUUGAAAAAUUAGCGGAUGACUUGUGGCUGGGGGUGAAAGGCCAAUCAAACCGGGAGAUAGCUGGUUCUCCCCGAAAGCUAUUUAGGUAGCGCCUCGUGAAUUCAUCUCCGGGGGUAGAGCACUGUUUCGGCAAGGGGGUCAUCCCGACUUACCAACCCGAUGCAAACUGCGAAUACCGGAGAAUGUUAUCACGGGAGACACACGGCGGGUGCUAACGUCCGUCGUGAAGAGGGAAACAACCCAGACCGCCAGCUAAGGUCCCAAAGUCAUGGUUAAGUGGGAAACGAUGUGGGAAGGCCCAGACAGCCAGGAUGUUGGCUUAGAAGCAGCCAUCAUUUAAAGAAAGCGUAAUAGCUCACUGGUCGAGUCGGCCUGCGCGGAAGAUGUAACGGGGCUAAACCAUGCACCGAAGCUGCGGCAGCGACGCUGAUGCGUUGUUGGGUA
Molecule: ribosomal RNA, 784 nt
Filed under: Escherichia coli
Lineage: Bacteria; Pseudomonadati; Pseudomonadota; Gammaproteobacteria; Enterobacterales; Enterobacteriaceae
Description: partial 23S ribosomal RNA
Rfam family: Bacterial large subunit ribosomal RNA
Source: RNAcentral